RNAcentral lists this ribosomal RNA (278 nucleotides) under Pseudomonas aeruginosa. RNAcentral describes it as "partial 16S ribosomal RNA". It matches the Rfam family "Bacterial small subunit ribosomal RNA", at positions 467 to 744 of the family's 1533-position model. The record is from RNAcentral. Lineage: Bacteria; Pseudomonadati; Pseudomonadota; Gammaproteobacteria; Pseudomonadales; Pseudomonadaceae.
GAUUGACGUUACCCGCAGAAGAAGCACCGGCUAACUCCGUGCCAGCAGCCGCGGUAAUACGGAGGGUGCAAGCGUUAAUCGGAAUUACUGGGCGUAAAGCGCACGCAGGCGGUCUGUCAAGUCGGAUGUGAAAUCCCCGGGCUUAACCUGGGAACUGCAUUCGAAACUGGCAGGCUAGAGUCUUGUAGAGGGGGGUAGAAUUCCAGGUGUAGCGGUGAAAUGCGUAGAGAUCUGGAGGAAUACCGGUGGCGAAGGCGGCCCCCUGGACAAAGACUGAC